This 817-nucleotide long non-coding RNA is filed under the name Homo sapiens (human). RNAcentral's name for it is "HSALNT0345686". Lineage: Eukaryota; Metazoa; Chordata; Mammalia; Primates; Hominidae. The record is from RNAcentral.
GCUGCACCAUCUCCGCAUUGAGGACCAGGUCAGGGGCGGCUGCGGAGGAUGGCAUGCUGGUCAACAAGGCAAGAGACCCCUCCCCAGGGCUUCUACUUCUGAUUCUUGAGCUGGGACAAACCCCCUCUCCUGCCUACCGCCACCUUCUGGAAUGACUCAAGGGCUCCUCAAGGUUACCUUCUUGUUUAGCAAGACCCUGAAUUCCUCUUUUCCUCUGCUGUGAGUCCUCUUUGACAACUCUUCAGUUAUCGGUGCAGAUGAGCGAGAUGUUAAAAUCUCACACACCUGGUCCUAGGCUACGAGCGAAGCACAGAUCAUGGUACGUUAACAGAUCCUGUGCCUCAUAAGCACUGAAUGUGAGUGAUGAGCACGUGGGGGUUGAUUAUAUUAUUCUACUUCAAGUGGCUUCAAGUUUUCCAUAAUAAAAUGCAAAAACAACAAUAACGAUGUGAUUGUGCUACCCAGAGAGAAAGAACACCUCUAAUACCUUGGUCUGCUGCUUCUGGGAAUGAUGUAUUUUCCAACAUGUAUAAUAUUGUCUGUGGAUUUAUGGUGCACUAAUACAGUUCCCCUUAAAAUACAUCUUCACAUAUUUUCACAUUGACAUAUAUCCAUUACAGCACAUUCAUUUCAUGGCUACAUAAGAUUUAAUUCCUAGCUCUAGCUCAUAUUUUUAGAUAUAUUGGCUGUUUGGAAUUUUUCACUUACAAGCUGUGAUAAAUACCCUGUAGUAAAUCUGUGCAUAUAACUUAUUUUUUUCUUUAGAAUAUAUCUCUGUAAGUGAAAGUGCUAGGAGAAAGCAUUGUCUGUUUUUAAG